GAUCAGGACCAGAAAUAUCAGAAGAGGCAAGCCCAGAAAAUAAAAGUAAAUCAAGAGCUGGACUUUUUUCUCCUAUCCAGUCAGUUGAAGUUAAAGAAUCUCACAAGGCGGAAGUUUUUGACACUACUGACUCAGAUAUGCACAAAGGACACACCACACCAGAUUGGAUCAUCAUCCUUGGCUUUGUUGUUGGUGUUGCAGCACUGGUAAUACUCCUCGCCGCAAUCGCUACCAGAGACAAGUGGAAUGGACCAAAGCAGCAGAAAACCAAAAUUGACACGUCAGACCAGCAGAGGGAGGUAGAGAUGGAGACUUUCCUGCACAAAGAUGUUCC
Long non-coding RNA from Scomber scombrus (Atlantic mackerel), 334 nucleotides. RefSeq lists it as uncharacterized. The transcript has 4 exons. NCBI's taxonomy places the organism in Eukaryota, Metazoa, Chordata, Actinopteri, Scombriformes, Scombridae. The record is from RefSeq and is a predicted model, not a curated record.